This 253-nucleotide ribosomal RNA is filed under the name uncultured bacterium. RNAcentral's name for it is "partial 16S ribosomal RNA". It matches the Rfam family "Bacterial small subunit ribosomal RNA", at positions 524 to 776 of the family's 1533-position model. The record is from RNAcentral.
UACGAAGGGGGCUAGCGUUGUUCGGAAUCACUGGGCGUAAAGGGUGCGUAGGCGGGUCUUUAAGUCAGAGGUGAAAUCCUGGAGCUCAACUCCAGAACUGCCUUUGAUACUGAGGAUCUUGAGUACGGGAGAGGUGAGUGGAACUGCGAGUGUAGAGGUGAAAUUCGUAGAUAUUCGCAAGAACACCGGUGGCGAAGGCGGCUCACUGGCCCGUUACUGACGCUGAGGCACGAAAGCGUGGGGAGCAAACAGG